UCUAGAGGAGGGAGGCAAGGGCGUUUGGAUUUCAACUCUUCACCUGGUGUACCAUUUUAUCAAAGUGGGAGUGUAUUAUACUUAGAUAAAUAUAGCUUCUAAAAACCUAUUGGGAGAGGCUGGCUUUGACUCAGACUGGAGGGAGUAAGGAGUAAGAUGGGAGAAGGGUAUUGGGGAGUAGAAGUAGAAGUGAUGAGGUGACUAUACUGUUGAAGGAAUCUCACUGACGAAUAGUAUUGUUACAAAUUUGUAUCUCCAUCACCUUGGGUUUCCUUAACUUCCUCCUAUCAACAUCUUGGAUAUCAUAGUAUAGGAAGUACCUAAUCAGAAGAAAG
This 335-nucleotide long non-coding RNA is filed under the name Homo sapiens (human). RNAcentral describes it as "LHRI_LNC1203.1". The record is from RNAcentral. Lineage: Eukaryota; Metazoa; Chordata; Mammalia; Primates; Hominidae.